This 274-nucleotide ribosomal RNA is filed under the name uncultured bacterium. Its description in RNAcentral is "partial 16S ribosomal RNA". It matches the Rfam family "Bacterial small subunit ribosomal RNA", at positions 523 to 796 of the family's 1533-position model. The record is from RNAcentral.
AUACGUAUGGUGCAAACGUUGUUCGGAAUCACUGGGCUUAAAGAGCACGUAGGCGGUUGAGAAAGUCAGAUGUGAAAUCCCUCGGCCCAACCGGGGAACUGCAUCUGAAACUUCUUAGCUAGAGUAUAGGAGGGGAGAGUGGAAUUCCUGGUGGAGCGGUGAAAUGCGUAGAUAUCAGGAGGAACGCCGGUGGCGAAAGCGACUCUCUGGCCUAUUACUGACGCUGAGGUGCGAAAGCUAGGGGAGCGAACAGGAUUAGAAACCCCAGUAGUCC